Molecule: long non-coding RNA, 422 nt
Organism: Acinonyx jubatus (cheetah)
Lineage: Eukaryota; Metazoa; Chordata; Mammalia; Carnivora; Felidae
Exons: 3
Source: RefSeq, a predicted model, not a curated record
AUCCGCGUAGCUUCGGUGUAUCCGUUGCUGACACUAAUGCUUACUUUUAUCUCCCAUCCCGUCUUCAAACUCAAACCUCAUUCUGGCUUCUGCGAUCAAUCACCUUUUGGGCUUUUCCGGUUGGCCAGGCUGCCUGCCGGCUUUGACACGAGCGCCUCUCAGCCCUGAGUGUAGAGUUCAAUCUUUGUCAUCACGCAAAUAGUGUAAGAACGGCCAGUAGAAACAUUCCAGGAAAUUGUUCAAUCUCGUGAAGAAAGACAGUUUUCAGAGUAACAGUGGUUUGGAGUUAAGCACAUCUGAAUUGUCCAGAAAAUCACUGCAGUUCCGCAUUUCACUAAGCUAAUAUAAGAAUGGCCUCAGGACAAGUUUUAGAUGAAGCAAACUGAGAUGAAACUAGAAAGAAGGUAAAAUUCUACUUUCUU